GACGAACGCUGGCGGCGUGCCUAAUACAUGCAAGUCGAACGCUGAAGGAGGAGCUUGCUUCUCUGGCUGAGUUGCGAACGGGUGAGUAACGCGUAGGUAACCUGCCUGGUAGCGGGGGAUAACUAUUGGAAACGAUAGCUAAUACCGCAUAAGAGUAGAUGUUGCAUGACAUUUGCUUAAAAGGUGCAAUUGCAUCACUACCAGAUGGACCUGCGUUGUAUUAGCUAGUUGGUGGGGUAACGGCUCACCAAGGCGACGAUACAUAGCCGACCUGGGAAGGUGGUCGGACACAAUGGGACGGAGACACGGCCCAGACACCCGCGGGAGGCAGCAGUAGGGGAACUUCGGAAAUGGACGGAAGUCUGAACCGGCAACGCCGCGGGGGGGAAGAAGGUUGUCGGAUCGGAAAGCUCGGUUGUAAGAGAAGGAAGAGUGGGAGAGUGGAAAGUUCACGCUGUGACGGUAUCUUAAGAGAAAGGGCCGGCUAACUACGUG
RNAcentral lists this ribosomal RNA (495 nucleotides) under uncultured bacterium. Its description in RNAcentral is "partial 16S ribosomal RNA". It matches the Rfam family "Bacterial small subunit ribosomal RNA", at positions 28 to 507 of the family's 1533-position model. The record is from RNAcentral.